GACGAACGCUGGCGGCGUGCUUAACACAUGCAAGUCGAACGGAAAGGCCCUGCUUUUGUGGGGUGCUCGAGUGGCGAACGGGUGAGUAACACGUGAGUAACCUGCCCUUGACUUUGGGAUAACUUCAGGUAACUGGGGCUAAUACCGGAUAGGAGCUCCUGCUGCAUGGAGGGGGAUGGAACGUUUCGGCGGUUGGGGAUGGACUCGCGGCUUAUCAGCUUGUUGGUGGGGUAGUGGCUUACCAAGGCUUUGACCGGUAGCCGGCCUGAGAGGGUGACCGGCCACAUUGGGACUGAGAUACGGCCCAGACUCCUACGGGAGGCAGCAGUGGGGAAUAUUGCACAAUGGGCGGAAGCCUGAUGCAGCAACGCCGCGUGCGGGAUGACGGCCUUCGGGUUGUAAACCGCUUUCGCCUGUGACGAAGCGUGAGUGACGGUAAUGGGUAAAGAAGCACCGGCUAACUACGUG
Molecule: ribosomal RNA, 468 nt
Filed under: uncultured bacterium
Lineage: Bacteria
Description: partial 16S ribosomal RNA
Rfam family: Bacterial small subunit ribosomal RNA
Source: RNAcentral